This 570-nucleotide ribosomal RNA is filed under the name Fusarium sp. LK-2016. Its description in RNAcentral is "eukaryotic LSU rRNA". The stretch from base 192 to 345 matches the Rfam family "5.8S ribosomal RNA". The record is from RNAcentral. Lineage: Eukaryota; Fungi; Ascomycota; Sordariomycetes; Hypocreales; Nectriaceae.
CGUAACAAGGUCUCCGUUGGUGAACCAGCGGAGGGAUCAUUACCGAGUUUACAACUCCCAAACCCCUGUGAACAUACCUAUACGUUGCCUCGGCGGAUCAGCCCGCGCCCCGUAAAAAGGGACGGCCCGCCCGAGGACCCCUAAACUCUGUUUUUAGUGGAACUUCUGAGUAAAACAAACAAAUAAAUCAAAACUUUCAACAACGGAUCUCUUGGUUCUGGCAUCGAUGAAGAACGCAGCAAAAUGCGAUAAGUAAUGUGAAUUGCAGAAUUCAGUGAAUCAUCGAAUCUUUGAACGCACAUUGCGCCCGCCAGUAUUCUGGCGGGCAUGCCUGUUCGAGCGUCAUUUCAACCCUCAAGCUCAGCUUGGUGUUGGGACUCGCGGUAACCCGCGUUCCCCAAAUCGAUUGGCGGUCACGUCGAGCUUCCAUAGCGUAGUAAUCAUACACCUCGUUACUGGUAAUCGUCGCGGCCACGCCGUAAAACCCCAACUUCUGAAUGUUGACCUCGGAUCAGGUAGGAAUACCCGCUGAACUUAAGCAUAUCAAUAAGCGGAGGAAAUGUCUCCGCG